AUAAAUAUCAUGAAAAAAAUUGAGUUAGCUAAUUCUUGUUGGAGUUAUCAAUAGCAAAACAUGUUCCGGAUCAACACUAUAGCUUUUGCGUUAUUGUUUCUAACAAUGCUUUUCGUUGGUGGCGACUGCAGACCACAACUACCCCUUCCAGUGGGUCUACCGCUUGGCGCUGCAACCGGCACUUUGACAGGUGCCGCCGGGGGUUUGCCUGUUGUUGGCGGCGUGGCACAAGGCGUUCUUACACCUGUAGGUCAAAUUCCCCAAAGUUUGCCAGUGGUUGGAGGUGUUUUGAACGGUUAAUACAUUCUUUAUGAAAGGAUUAACGUUAAAUUAAAUUAAUGUAAAAUUAACUAAAAAUUCGUAUAAUUAUUAAAUAUUACUGGGGUUUUGGAAAAAAAAAUAAUUUCUGAUUAGAGCAAUAGCUUUGGUGGAGGUAGUAGAGGCGUUUGGAUGUUUUAUUCCAAAGAGAAUUUGUGAAUUGGUGUAUGUAUUUUGUGCAAAAGGGAUGUCCACUUGGAUGGCAUUACCUUAUUUUAUCUUAUUAAGUGUGAGAUCCAAGGUGUUUCAGCAUAACUCCCGUAAAUGUGAAAAUGUCAAUAGGGAAGAACUGGAUUGUACUUCGUUUUCUUUCAAAGCACUGCGGAUGAAAACGGUGUGUUUUUAGACUUGUAUAUGUUUACCUCGGGUCAGAAGGAUCUGCUGAAGUGCUAGUAGCUGACAAACACCAAGCAGGUGAGGACUUCAAAUGUAAAUAGAUGCCAAAAUAUGGACACACGUGAAAAGAGAGUAUAUAAAAAUUUAAAUGUCGACAGAUCGGGGUUAAUAUAGAAAAAAGUAAUAAUGAUAUCUGUGAAACCUUUCAGUAAAAGCUAACUUAAAAUUGUUCCACUAAAGUUUGCAUAUAUUAAAGUUUAGAGCCAUAAAAUAAUUCGAAUGGCCAUACAAUGAAGUUGAUCGAUAUGGCUGUAUCACUUUGUGGCCAUCACAGAAUGUGCUAAUGGUAUCAUUAUGAAAGAAAGGGUAGCCAAACCUUUUUAAAACAUGUUGGGCUGACUGACCAUGUCAUAAGUAAAAGAAAACUUUGGCUAAA
Molecule: long non-coding RNA, 1090 nt
Organism: Bactrocera neohumeralis
Lineage: Eukaryota; Metazoa; Arthropoda; Insecta; Diptera; Tephritidae
Exons: 2
Source: RefSeq, a predicted model, not a curated record